UCCUACCUGUCUCAGAUGGUAAAGAAUCUGCCUGCAAUGCAGAAGACCUGGGUUUGAUCCCUUGGUCAGGAA
RNAcentral lists this transfer RNA (72 nucleotides) under Bos taurus (domestic cattle). It matches the Rfam family "tRNA". Rfam says of the family: Transfer RNA (tRNA) molecules are approximately 80 nucleotides in length. The record is from Rfam by way of RNAcentral. Lineage: Eukaryota; Metazoa; Chordata; Mammalia; Artiodactyla; Bovidae. RNAcentral also lists the same sequence under 3 other names.